RNAcentral lists this long non-coding RNA (221 nucleotides) under Elaeis guineensis (African oil palm). RNAcentral's name for it is "long non-coding RNA (EGUI_LNC072152)". The record is from RNAcentral. Lineage: Eukaryota; Viridiplantae; Streptophyta; Magnoliopsida; Arecales; Arecaceae.
CAUUUACUAUGAUACUCCACAUAUCAUAGUCAAGUGCUUGAAUGAAGAUUUUCAUCCGAGCUUUCUAAUAGGUAUAGUUUGACCCAUUGAACAGUGGAGGUCGGUUAGUGGACUGCCCCUCGGCUAGAGAAGUGCCAACUUGAGUUGCCAUAGAUCUUUAGCUCUUUGAUGGUUAAAUCAAAGUAGGGCUAGAGCACCGAGCUCUGAUACUACUUGUUGCC